Long non-coding RNA from Sarcophilus harrisii (Tasmanian devil), 2629 nucleotides. Lineage: Eukaryota; Metazoa; Chordata; Mammalia; Dasyuromorphia; Dasyuridae. The record is from Ensembl.
CCCCACCCAGCCCCAGGUUGCAGCAGCGGGUCCCGCAGCCCUUGCCCUCCCCCAGACCCUCAGGGGGGACCCUCCUCUCCUGGGUUCUCCCCGCCUCUGCCUCCCCCUCCCCCCUUAGUCUGGGACCUCAGCCUGCUCUCUCAGCUUUGCCCCCGCCAGACCCCGCCUCCUCGGCUGCGGUUCUCCCCCCCCCCCCGGGGGUCUUGUCUUGGAUCUGCCGGCAGGAUGGAGGUCGGCUCCCCCUGCUUGUGGAUGUACAUCGUCCCCAUUGUCCUGUUCCUCAUGAUGUCUGGAGCUCCGGAUGCUGGUGGCCAGGGAGGGGGUGGUGGGGGCGGGGGCGGGGGCAGUGGGAGAUAAGGGCUGACCUGUCACUAAAUAAAGUUCCCAUUGGACCCUGCUCUUGUCUGCAGCUUUUGGCCCUGGCGGCCCCCCUCCCGGGGCCCCAGCGCUGUGUGACCUGCCUUGGGGCUUCAGUGAACUCUUCCACUGAGGGAGUCAGGCUGGAGGAGGCAGGAGGGUCUGAGACCCGAGUCACAUGAGGGCGGGGGCUGCCAUGGUCUAGACUGCCUGUAGUCAGGAGAAGGGGCCAGGGGGCAGCUGCUGUGGCAAGAGACUCAAGGGGGCCUCUAGGCAAGGGGAGCCUCAGUGGUCGCCAGUGUAGGCCUCAGGCCUUGGGCAAGCGGGUGUAAAGCACCCACUGUGUGCAGCGCGCUGCCCUCAAGGACUGGUCAUCCAGGUCUUGAGGAGCCCCGACUUCUGAGGACAUAGGGGUGAUGAGGGCCCCCCUUUGACAGAGCUGGGGCGCCUUAGCCUGCUUGGGCUAGAGGAGGUGGGGGAUUGGGUCCCCGAGGGUGGCGGGGGACCCUCAUGGGCACUGGCAAAUUCUGGGACCCAGGUUGGGGAGGGGACACCCUGGAGACCCGCCAGGACAGCAUCAGCGAGCUGGGAGCCCGCUGGGCGGACAGAAAACGGUUUCCACAAUUUCUGUUGGCAAAGUUCAAAAUGUACCAGGAGCAUUUAUUUGUUCACUUGGUAACUUAGUCUGAGAAUAACGGAACUGGGGGGAGCGGAAGCUUCAUCGGGUUCAGAGUCGGUGCUCGCCGCUGUCCGGCUGUCGGCAGAUGCUCCUGCUGGGCUGCGCCACGUGGCUCCACGGGCGCGAUCUCGAGAAAGGAAGACGCUCUCCCUGAGCGAGUCUGGGCCCCACGCCGGGUAACUCGCCAUCCGGGGCGGCGACUCCCCCACAGCAGCCUGCUUACGGCUGAGCCGGGGGUGGGCCCUCCGGGUGAGGGCUCAGUGCCAAGAGGCACCGCCCCGAGGGUCUCCCAUGGCCCCAGAGCUCUGCAGACCGGCUCCCUGAGGAGCACCAAGGCUUUGUGAAGGCCCGGAGCCGCUUGUCCUCAUGGCUUUAGAAUGCACACGUUCUGCGCCGGACAGAAGCAGGAGGGGGACCCGCCUUGGGCCCGGCCAUCAGAACGGAGAAAGCCUCCGCCGAUGGUCCGGGCUCAGGGUGGCGAGCGCCCCACCCCCUGCUUUGUGGUCCACAGAGUCCAGCCCAAUGUGGGCACUGAGGGGGAGCCCUAGCGAGCAGGAGGCGCUGGGCCAGUAGGGCCUGGGGGAACUGGCAGCAGCUGUAGUGGGGACGGCGUCAUCCAAGUCUGCCCCAGCAAGGUGGUCAGCCAGGGACAUUCCCCUUCCCUGGUGCAGGGACAGGGGCGAGGGGCCGAGAAUAUUGGGCUUCUGGGGACAAUGUCAGCCUCCACCUUACAGGACUUCCCACAGAAGGGGGGUUCAGGGGAGGAUGGUCUGGAUCUGGUGGCUCGCACCCCAGCUCUGAGCCGGCCGCUUUGGGGGUUUCCCAUCAAGGGCUUGUGGGUGUCUAAGAGCUGGGGCGCAGUUUCAGGUUUUACCAGGAGGUGGAGCUGGAUGGCCCGAAAGUCCCCUUGGGGAUGGAAGCUGGUGCCCUCUGGGUCAGUGUGGGGAGACUGGGGGAGGGGCUUCCUGCAGUGGCUGGGGCAAAGACAGCCUAAGGGCGAUCACUGGUAAUACUUAUCCCGUCCCCAUGCUCCUUGUAUGGAGCACUCAUGAUCAUGGGUAAUCAGGCCAGGGCAGCGCCAGGCUGGCCAGAGAAGCCUCCGGCUCAGUUUGUGCCCUGCGGCUGGCGUCCUUUCCAGAGCUUCUUCAUGCCUCCUCUGGGACCACGGCCGAUGGUCUCACGGCUCCUAGUCCUCAAGUCUCUCAAGUGGGCACUGUUACUGUCAGCUGCUCUUCAGCGGGUACUCUCGUCAUUGUAAGCUGCGCUUGGGCGGGCACUCUUUCCCAGGGGGUCCGAGGAGCAGGCCAGCCUAAGGAAGGGGCGGUGGGGGCAUCUGUGUCCUGGAGGCUGCUGUGGAAUCCCAGAUGGUUUUUGUCCUUCUGAAGAAGAAAUGGCCUUUAGCCCCAGAAUAGACAAUCUGGGGGGAGGGGAUUCUUUAUCUACAAGGGGCUGGGUGGGGGGGAGGCCUUAUGGAAUGGUCUCUGAACUGGAAAGGAUUCUGAGGUCCAGCCUUCCAGGCCAUGCAGGAGCCUAGGGAAAUGGGCAGCUCGGUACCUAUUUAGGUGGCCCAGACAGGUCCAGGGGAGAAGGCUG